This 383-nucleotide ribosomal RNA is filed under the name uncultured bacterium. RNAcentral describes it as "bacterial SSU rRNA". It matches the Rfam family "Bacterial small subunit ribosomal RNA", at positions 46 to 392 of the family's 1533-position model. The record is from RNAcentral.
GGCCGCGGGAAUUCGAUUCAGGCUUAACACAUGCAAGUCGAACGGGAUCCAUCAAACUUGCUUGGUGGUGAGAGUGGCGAACGGGUGAGUAAUGCGUGACCGACCUGCCCCAUACACAGGAAUAGCUCCUGGAAACGGGUGGUAAUGCCGGAUGUUCCAGUUGAUCGCAUGGUCUUCUGGGAAAGCUUUCGCGGUAUGGGAUGGGGUCGCGUCCUAUCAGCUUGACGGCGGGGUAACGGCCCACCGUGGCUUCGACGGGUAGCCGGCCUGAGAGGGCGACCGGCCACAUUGGGACUGAGAUACGGCCCAGACUCCUUCGGGAGGCAGCAGUGGGGAAUAUUGCACAAUGAGGGCAAGCCUGAUGCAGCGACGCUGCGUGAGGG